Long non-coding RNA from Gallus gallus (chicken), 779 nucleotides. The record is from Ensembl. Lineage: Eukaryota; Metazoa; Chordata; Aves; Galliformes; Phasianidae.
CUCGGUCCUCCAGCCCCCCACCUCGGUCCUCCAGCCUCACUUCCAAGUCCUCCAGCCCCCCACCUCGGUCCUCCAGCCCCCCAACUCGGUCCUCCAGCCCCCCAGCUCACCUUGCUAUAGAGCUGCGCGGCCGCCAUGGCCGCCUCGUCGCUAUGGGGCGGAGUUGUGGGGCGGAGCUCCGCCCCAUAGCAACGCGGCCCCAUAGAGGGCAAUGGGGGGAUGGGAGUGGAGCCGCUCCCUAUGGGGAAAGGUCCCGGCACGGCCAUAAUGGGGUCCUAUGGGGUCCUUAUGGGGUUUUAUGGGGUCCAAUGGGGUCUUAUGGGGCUCUAUGAGGUCUUAUGGGGUUCUAGGGGGUCCUUAUGGGGUCCCUAUGGGGUCUUUAUGGGGUCCUAUGGGGUCUUAUGGGGUCCUAUGGGGUCUUUAUGGGGUCCUAUGGGGGCUUAAAGGGGUUCUAUGGGGUCCUAUGGGGCUCUAUGGGGGCUUAAAGUGGUCUUUAUGGGGUCUUUAUGGGGUCCUAUGGGGUCCUUAUGGGGUUUUAUGGGGUCCAAUGGGGUCCUAUGGGGCUCUAUGAGGUCUUAUGGGGUUCUAGGGGGUCCUUAUGGGGUCCCCAUGGGGUUCUAUGGUGAUCUAUGGGGGCUUUAUGGGGUCCUAUGGGGGCUUAAAGGGGUUCUAUGGGGUCCUAUGGGGCUGUAUGGGGGCUUUAUGGGGUCCUAUGGGGACUUAAAGGGGAUCUAUGGGGUCCUAUGGGGUUCUAUGGGGUCUUUAUGGGGACCUCUGGG